UGUAGACUGUGUAGGCUCACGAUGCAGGAGGCGGAUUCACACUGCUUUCGUAUUUUCUAAACUAUGUUUAUACGAUCGUCAUGCGUGUGUAUAUAUACGUAAUUUGGCUAUGGCCUAUUAAUAAAUGAUAUGAUAAUAUUAAUGGAAAGUUAGCUUAAGAAGAAUCGCGUUAUAUCUCACCAGUCUCGUAAGUAUCGAAGUAACCAACACGAUAACUCAACAGUUUAACGCAUGUUCCGUGUUUUUCUCAGAUAAAUGUUCCUGUACUUUUUGCAAGGGAUUAUCCGUAUACCGUGUCUGGCUUGUAAACGUUCGAAAUAAUUUUGCGUGGCAGAAUGAAGAGAGAGAAAGAGAGAGAGAGAGAGAGAGGGGGCAAAGUAUCUGGCGAGUAGACAAUGAAAGCCCACAAAAUCUCCCCGGAGUAGCGAUCCCUUCUGCAGGAUAAUAUCAUCGUGUCGAGCUUCACAUUGUGGAGAGACUCUUGCCGACGUUCGCCGAAGACUUUCUUGCUAGUUAGGAGAUACUUACUGUGAGUUAAAGCUCAUCACAGUCUCAGAGACAUCGCCUGUUAUCCGAUCUCAAAUUUACUUCGCCAUUUUUCCACCACUUAUACUCCUCGGAUCAAUUUCGCAUUCUCUCUAGCUUUCUCAAAGCACAUUCUAAAUUUCCUAUUUUCAGAUAAUCUUACUUAUGCAAAUUUAUGAUUUUAUUAACGUAACCGGAGGAACGGUUCAUCCAUCAAAAAAUAACGUCACCGGACUACGGAUUUUUAUGCAAAUUCAUAUUCUCGUAGACGCAAAGAGAGGAAAUUGAGUCUAAAGAGGGAGAGAGAGUCGCUUGAUUCUCCGAAUAUCGGAAGUCUACUUUAGAAAUAUUACUAUGGCUAUACUAUAGUAUCAUUGGAAUUUUUCAUAAAUGCGUUAUUUCGGAAUCGUAGAAACGUUUUAGACAGUUAGAGAAUUUUGUACAGGCCCGUAGGGAUUGAAACAGGGCACCAUUUGCCGAUUCCUAUGUUUACCUCGCCGCGCCACGAAGUUUCCUUAAUCGUUGUUACUACCACUGAAAGAAGUUAUUUCUAUAGAAAGCGGCUUUCGUUAUUGCGAUGCUUUCCUCCACUUCGUUUUAUCGACUUUUUUCAAGGACUGUUGCGUUGUUUCUUUGGAAAGUGUUUUUUUUUGUUUUAUACAUAUCGAGGGAUUUGCAGAAAGCAAUCUCCUGAUUUUUCGAAGGUUGUCGAGCACAUUCUCUCUUUCAGCCGGUUGUUUCGUGUAACUCUAUCUCCGGUGAUUGAUGGUCCCGUCAACCCGUGAUCUAUCGCGUUAAUCACGAGAUACCCCGUUACGGUUUCAUUCUUUUUUUUCCCUAACAGUCAUUAAACGGAUCGCCGGCACUACAUCGAAGGAUCUCGUCGGUGUCUUAAUCUUCUCGCUGCCGUUUUGAUUUAUCGUUUCCCUUUAUCUACCAUGGUCCUUCCAACGAACGAAUCAUCGAAUUACCUUUUUCUCUUUCGGCCAAACACAUUAUUUAGCCACCAAAGUGGAUAGCUGUAACACUUCUUAAACCAUUACGAACAAACAACAAUGCUACGCUGUUCUUACAAUUACCGUAAACUCGAAUCCAAACUUCUACGAUUUCCAAAGCUUACAUUUAUACCGCGAAAUCUUCUUUAUUUGUAGAUAGAAUUUCCGAGUCGUCGAAUUCUAGGAUUAAUAGGAUAAAAAUUGUAUCUUAUUACUCGACCAAUGGGAAGAUAAGAAAAUCUAUGAAAGUCACAUCGUCCAAGUUAGAAGCUCGAUUACCUCUAACUUGUUCGAUGUGUAAUUAUAUAAUGGAUUACUAGCAUGUGCAAUUAUAUUAUUUCUUCUACGAGACUCUUCCAAACCAAUUUCUACUAUAUUAAUCAAUGCUAGCCAGCUCUUUUUCCAGUUUCAAUAAUACUCGUUUCUUUCUAUUUCUAUCCUUUCGACUAUAUCACACGCAUACGGGUCGUACCAUGACCUGUACUAUCGGGGUCUUCGUCAAAGAAAACGUGGGAGCAAAGGCCAAACCGUAGAGGUACGAUAUUUCUGUCGAUAAUUGUUAGGAGCGCGGCCUAUGUGCAUGUGCUCUCUAUUUCGUGUUCGUUUGAUGAAACGGGCUAAGGUACAUCAGCCAUUCGUUUCAUUCGAGAUUACGUCCUUGGACAUUUUCUAGGACACUGCAGCAGCCCGCUUUCCCGCGCCAAUGAUCUUCACGCGGCGAGGAGCUUUCUCUCCCCUCGUUACGAUCCGCGGCUAUCUUGAUCGUCAUCCUUAUCUCUGCGGAGAUCUGCCACGAUUCGAUCGACAAACGCUGCUCGAGACAACGAGAAUACUUGAAAGAGGCGAUAUAGUGACGCUUGCGACAAUUUUUUGAAAUAAAUCCGUAGCAUCGAUCAACGAUGGGAUGGAAGCUGCCGGAACAAACCACGGCUCCAUUAUUUUCUCAAAUUCCACGCACAUGCACGGGAUUAAUAACGAAUUCUCAAGAAGGAAAUGGCUCGUUUCCCAUUGGGGAAGGUUAACUUCUAAGGAUUAUUUUAAGGAUUAAGUGAUCGCGAUUCGAUGGCCACGGAUUGUAGUUAAAUUGGCGUGAUCAACGCAGAGGUAGACAACGAUAAUGCUCAACGAUAGCCAGGUCCGUGAUCAGCUCGUGCGAAGAAUCCUUCAGCUAAAUCUAGAGAGGCUAUAAAGUGGUUUUUCCUGUGGGGCGGAUUAUGCAGAGGGGUCGGUUUCGAUCGGGCUUCGAUCGGCCGCCGGGUCGACAGCCACUCGAUAAAAGCAAAGAGAGAGAGAGAGAGAGAGAGAGAGAGGAAGCGCGAAGAGUGUUCGUGACACGCCCUCGAGGGUCGCAUCGAACCGCCGCUCAGAGAAAAGAAUUUGGCGCCCGUCGAUGAACUUUCCAAGCUUUUUCCUUUGUCUCGGAUUCAAAGUUCCCAUCGGGAAACUUUUUAUUUCGCCGAGCGAUAAAUCAACGGCGGUGCGCAUUUCGUGGAGGAAUUGCAGCGUGAAGAACAAAACGCGAAACCAAUGUUUCGGACGUGGAUUCUUCCAUUUGGAUUUUUCCCCUUUCCCCUGUAUAAUUUACGUGUUUGUCCAUUCCAGGUAAUUGGCGAGCGUUGGUUAUCGCAAUUUAUUACAACGCCAUAAAUCAGCAUCUAGCGAGGUGCUUUCCGCCAAAGAACGUUGCUGCGAGGACGUGUAUCGCGUCCGAUCGAUUUUCCCCGCCGAUAAUUUCCACUUAGUUUUACAAAGGCUGGCGGCACACGUUACCUGGUCCGAACGGAAUUUUUCUUGUCGAAGGUUGUUUAAGGGCUAACGCGUCCCGCCUCGAUCAAUUAUUCUCGGUAUCAGCCUCGGGACUGAAACGACCAGCCUGCAACCUCCAAGAAGUUAUCUAUCCAGGCGAGCGACUACAAAAUAGAGAUUAGCUACACUGGCUCGCGAAAUUAUGCGAACCUCCUACAAGAUUUGUACCUCCAUAUAGUAUGUCGUAUAGAACAUUCUAAAACUGCAUUGGGAUUUCAAUGAGAUAUGACUGUCAUUUGGUUGUGUUGGUAAAACUUGGAGUGAAUCUGAGAAUAUAUACAGAAGAUAUACAGGGUGCGGCAGAAUAAAAAUAAGAACGAAAUAU
Molecule: long non-coding RNA, 3651 nt
Organism: Bombus huntii
Lineage: Eukaryota; Metazoa; Arthropoda; Insecta; Hymenoptera; Apidae
Exons: 4
Source: RefSeq, a predicted model, not a curated record